UCCCCGGGCUCAACCUGGNUACUGCGUUCUGAACUGGGUAGCUAGAGUAUGUCAGAGGGGGGUAGAAUUCCACGUGUAGCAGUGAAAUGCGUAGAGAUGUGGAGGAAUACCGAUGGCGAAGGCAGCCCCCUGGGAUAAUACUGACGUUCAUGCUCGAAAGCGUGGGUAGCAAACAGGAUUAGAUACCCUGGUAGUCCACGCCCUAAACGAUGUCGAUUAGCUGUUGGGCAACUUGAUUGCUUAGUAGCGUAGCUAACGCGUGAAAUCGACCGCCUGGGGAGUACGGUCGCAAGAUUAAAACUCAAAGGAAUUGACGGGGACCCGCACAAGCGGUGGAUGAUGUGGAUUAAUUCGAUGCAACGCGAAGAACCUUACCUGGUCUUGACAUGUACGGAAGAACUCAGAGACGAGUUUGUGCCUUCGGGAGCCGUAACACAGGUGCUGCAUGGCUGUCGUCAGCUCGUGUCGUGAGAUGUUGGGUUAAGUCCCGCAACGAGCGCAACCCUUGUCAUUAGUUGCCAUCAUUUAGUUGGGCACUCUAAUGAGACUGCCGGUGACAAGCCGGAGGAAGGUGGGGAUGACGUCAAGUCCUCAUGGCCCUUAUGACCAGGGCUUCACACGUCAUACAAUGGUCGGUACAGAGGGUAGCCAAGCCGCGAGGUGGAGCCAAUCCCAGAAAACCGAUCGUAGUCCGGAUUGCACUCUGCAACUCGAGUGCAUGAAGUCGGAAUCGCUAGUAAUCGCAGGUCAGCAUACUGCGGUGAAUACGUUCCCGGGUCUUGUACACACCGCCCGUCACACCAUGGGAGUGGGGGAUACCAGAAGUAGGUAGGGUA
RNAcentral lists this ribosomal RNA (836 nucleotides) under uncultured bacterium. RNAcentral's name for it is "bacterial SSU rRNA". It matches the Rfam family "Bacterial small subunit ribosomal RNA", at positions 600 to 1437 of the family's 1533-position model. The record is from RNAcentral.